This 376-nucleotide unclassified non-coding RNA is filed under the name uncultured Gammaproteobacteria bacterium. Its description in RNAcentral is "contains 16S-23S intergenic spacer region". The record is from RNAcentral. Lineage: Bacteria; Pseudomonadati; Pseudomonadota; Gammaproteobacteria.
UCCGGCUUAUCACCGGCAGUCCCACUAGAGUGCCCAACUGAAUGAUGGUAACUAAGGAUAAGGGUUGCGCUCGUUACGGGACUUAACCCAACAUCUCACAACACGAGCUGACGACAGCCAUGCAGCACCUGUGUUCAGGUUCCUUUCGGCACCUUCGCAUCUCUGCAAAUUUCCUGACAUGUCAAGGGUAGGUAAGGUUCUUCGCGUUGCAUCGAAUUAAACCACAUGCUCCACCGCUUGUGCGGGCCCCCGUCAAUUCCUUUGAGUUUUAACCUUGCGGCCGUACUCCCCAGGCGGAGAACUUAUCGCGUUAGCUUCGAUACUAACAGGUCAUGCCUGCCAACAUCUAGUUCUCAUCGUUUACAGCGUGGACUAC